Molecule: non-coding RNA, 855 nt
Organism: Pelmatolapia mariae (spotted tilapia)
Lineage: Eukaryota; Metazoa; Chordata; Actinopteri; Cichliformes; Cichlidae
Source: the annotation of a RefSeq genome assembly
AUGCUUGUGGCACUGUUGAUGGUUUUAUGGAGCAUGGUGCUGCUGAUGCAAAGUUCAUCAGGAGAAAUCAUCCUGACUCAGACUCCGGGACAGACUGUCUGUAUCAGAUGUAAAGCCAGUUCAAGGGUUAGCAGCUACCUCCACUGGUACCUUCAAAAGGACGGAGAAUCUCCCAAACUCUUAAUUUAUUCUGCUACCAGCCGUCAGUCUGGAGUUUCUGAUCGUUUCAGUGGAAGUGGAUCUGGGUUUGACUACACUCUGACCAUCAGUGGAGUUCAGGCUGAAGAUGCAGGAGUUUAUUACUGUCAGCAGGGUUACUGCACGGCCUUUGUAUCACUGUGGUGGACUUUUGGUGGAGGAACCAGACUGGAUGUUGGAAGUGAUACCCGCCCCGCCCUGAAGGUGCUGGGUCCCUCCAGUGCAGAGCUGGACCAGGGGAAGGCCACGCUCAUGUGUGUGGCCAACAAGGCCUUCCCCUCAGACUGGAGUCUGUCCUGGAAGACGAGCGACAGCAGUGGCAGCAGCAGCAUCAGAGGGGAGGAGAGCAGGACUCCUGGAGUGCUGCAGAAUGACGGCCUCUACAGCUGGAGCAGCACCCUGACGCUCACUGCAGACCAGUGGGGGAAGGUGGGCUCUGUGACCUGUGAGGCCACCCAGGGCUCCCAGACUUCAGUCUCAGAGAUACUGAGGAGAGACCAGUGUUCCCAGUCCUGAUGUCAAUCACUGAGUCUUUCAUGCUCUUUUUUUCUGUCUCUUUGUUUCUUUUAUUUGCUGAUAUUUCAAAACCCAUCAAAUAGUCAUGUUUCCAUCCCAUAAUGACAAAAAUCAUAGCAACAAUCUCAUCUAGUUUCAUCC